CCUUUACACUGCACGACAGUGCGAUAAGGGAAUUCCAAGUGCGAAGGCAUAGAGCCUUCGCUUUUGUCCACCGUAGGGAGGUGGACGAAUAAGGGCUGGGCAAGACCGGUGCCAGCCGCCGCGGUAAUACCGGCAGCCCGAGUGAUGGCCGAUCUUAUUGGGCCUAAAGCGUCCGUAGCUGGCCGCACAAGUCCAUCGGAAAAUCCACCCGCUCAACGGGUGGGCGUCCGGUGGAAACUGUGUGGCUUGGGACCGGAAGGCGCGACGGGUACGUCCGGGGUAGGAGUGAAAUCCCGUAAUCCUGGACGGACCGCCGAUGGCGAAAGCACGUCGCGAAAACGGAUCCGACAGUGAGGGACGAAAGCUAGGGUCUCGAACCGGAUUAGAUACCCGGG
Molecule: ribosomal RNA, 395 nt
Filed under: uncultured archaeon
Lineage: Archaea
Description: bacterial SSU rRNA
Rfam family: Archaeal small subunit ribosomal RNA
Source: RNAcentral